This is a long non-coding RNA of Cercocebus atys (sooty mangabey), 3588 nucleotides long. RefSeq lists it as uncharacterized. The record is from RefSeq and is a predicted model, not a curated record. NCBI's taxonomy places the organism in Eukaryota, Metazoa, Chordata, Mammalia, Primates, Cercopithecidae. The transcript is spliced from 3 exons.
CGGAAAUGACCAGGUUGGGUGUUUUCAGGUGCCAGUGCUGGGUCAGCAGCUCGUAGAGGAUUUCUGCGUCCGUGUCGCAGGACAGACGGAUAUACUAUGGGGGGAGGAGCAGAAGCAUCAAGAUAAGCCUGUGUUCUCCUGAGGUCGGUGUUUAGCAUCCGCGCCAACACCCCGCCCACGCUUGCCUGCUUCUAGAAGAGGGGCGUGGUGGGGGCAGCAGGGAUCGUGGCACUGGGAGUCCCAGGCGGGGGCCGUGCCAAGGACCCACGAGGAAUGGAAGUGUGAAAGGAAAAUAAAUCUUGGGGCCCGAAAAUUCAAGCUAGGAACUGCUUGGGACAAACCUGCCUCCCACUCUAUUCAAAGUCACCCCUCUGCUCGCAGAGAUGAAUGCAUAUGUGAUUGCCUCCUUUGGAGAGGCUAAUCAGAAACUCAGAAGAAUGCAACCGUUUGUCUCUUGUCUACUCAUGACCUGGAAGCCCCGUCCCGUUUCGAGUUGUCCCGCCUUUGCCUGAUUUUGUGAACUUUCCUCAUACCAACUAAAUGCAGUAUUGAGCCAGGCAAGAGGGCAUCACAGAGGCACAGUGGAAGUUACAACAAUGAAUGAGACUACUCUUCCCUCGGAGGGUAUAAAAGGUAGCAUUUGACCACAAAUGGGCAUGUUAUAAGUAAAGUGUCACAAAGGCCAAGGAAUCCAAGUACCUGGAGCACAAAACACAGUUCAAGAAAGCUUUGAGCUUUGUUUUGAACCUAUCAUCUUUGACCAAUCACAGACUGUGGAUUAAGGAUUAGCCCCAAUUUAUACAUCUUUAGCCCUUACACACACAUACAAAAGUUACAACUCUUAUGACAACCAAGACUGGAUGCGCAUCAGCAUGGAGUCCUGGGAACCGUGGCUGCAUUCAUGUGUGUUUUUACUUUUGUUGCCUCUGAGUACCUUUCUCUUAAUCCUGGAAUAGGAUGCAUAAUCCAGGCUCAAAUAUAUUCAUUGCUUUCUUGUUUCCCAUAAACUGUAAACAAAUGGAAAAUUAGUUCCCGUGUAAUGCUGUAUCUCAGGAGUAAACAACCUGUGUCUCUGGUGCCCAAUAGCCUUGGAGAUGGGUAUAAUCUGCAAGAUCCCCAUGCCUCCCAUGGUUCCUGAUACAGCCAGUGCCCAAUAAAUAUUGGUGGAUUGAUGAGUAGCACAGCACCAGGGUUACUUCAACGGCCAUGCAGCAGACGAUGACGUAGACCUAAAAUCAAAUACAGAUUUUCUGCCUGUGCUGCCACCAUCCUAGAUCUUGAGUUCUUUUCUUGCCAUCUUUUAAAGGUAAGAAAUCUCCUUUAUUGGGAUACUCUUGUCUGAAAACAACUCUAUUUCUAGGAUCAAGUAACAGAAAGUCAUUAAAUGUGGACAUACAAGAGGUCCCAUCCUUUUCAUGAUGCAGAGAUGGAACAGAAAUGUGUAGGGGGACUUUUCUUCGCAAGAGGCUACCUUCUCUUUCAGUAAUGUGAAAGGAUUUUGGUAAUUCUAGUGUAACCACUGAGCCCCACCAUGGAUAUUCAGACUUGGAAGUUGCUAGAUCUUCGCCCCACACUGUGGCACAUCUGUUGUGUUUAAGGAGUCAGAGAAAUUUUAUUCACCAGAUCCCCUUUUAAAGAGAACCGUGCACCAGUUUGCAAGUAAACAAAAACCUAACUCAACCCACGUUUGCUUAAGUAAAUAAGGGAUUUAUCGGUUCAGGAAGUUUAAAAUAGUAGGGGCAUAUUGUAUUCAGCAGCAGCUCGAUCAAGGGCUCAGGUGACCAAGACUUGGCUUCUGCCUCUGUGCUUCUUGGUUUCAGCCUUCUCCAUCUGGGCUUUAUUCUCAGACAUAAGGAUCUUGCCUCCACUCAUGGUUACAAGAUGGUCACAGGAGCCAAAACUAUCAUCAUCUCACAUGCAACAAAAAUGGGGAAAAGAUUGUCCACUUUUCAGAUGGCACAAACAAAAGUCUUGGAAUUGAAUCUUGAGGUUUCUAAUUGGCCUGAGAUCACAGAUCUACUCUAAGCAGUUGCCGUUAUAAUGGCAUGCAACUCAAUGACCACAGGACCAUUCCAGAGGUGCUGCAGAGCAGGGAUCACAAACUGAGAGCCAGUGGGCUGAAUUCAACCCAGAGAUGUGCUUUGCCAGGCCAGCAUGGUGUUUUCAGAUUUUUUAUUUAAACACCUUUGGCUGAUGUCUCCACUCUUCAGUUUCCUGAAGACCUUCCUACUCCACGCUCAGCCUGAUUUACAUAUUGAUAUUACUGCCUGGUUUGGUAAGGUAUUUAAUUUUGCACACUAUUAUAGAUGUAAACUUAAGAAUUCUGUGUAGCUGAACUAAACAAUCAUUGGGGAUCAAUUACUUCUGCGUUCCCAGUAUCUAGCAUAGUACCUGCACACACAGAGGUCAUGCAAAGGUGCUUAUAGAAUUAUACUCAUUAAUCUACUGAUCACAGGGUCAGGUGCAAUGACCCACACCUGUAAUCCCAGCUACUCAGGAGGCUGAGGUGAGAGGAUCACUUGAGUCCAGGCUGUAGUGGGCUAUAAUCACAUCACUGCGCUCCAGCCUGGAGACAGAGAAAAACCUGUCUCUGGAAAAAAAAAAAAAAAACUUCUCAAGCAGAGAUUCUAUGGGACUGGGGGAUUAGUUCCAGCUUAAUCAAACAUUAACCAUAGGACCUUGGGCAAAUCUCUGUGCUUGAGAAGGACACAGUGAAGAUAAAAAGGAUCACGUGCCCAUGUAAGGACCCAAAGGCUGUAUCUGUAAGAGGGCAGGCUGGACUCUGUGACAAACAACCCUUAUCUCUGAGGAUUCAUGCAAAAAAAGUCUAUUUCUUGCUCAUGCCCAGUUGAAUGUGGGAGUUCAGCAGGCAGCUAUUCACCUGGGAUUCAAGGGCCCAUCUCUUCCGUUCUGUAGUUCUGGUAUCUCCUGGGCCUUAGAGCCCCUCUGAGAUCGUCCGUUAAAUCCAGCAGAGAAGAGAAAAGAGUGAGAGUUUGAGAGGCUGGGGCUGGAAGUGACAGCUAUUACUUCCAACUACAUUGCACUAGCCAGAACUCAGCCCUGUGGCAACACCUACCUUGAAGAGUGACUGGGAAAUGUCUGGCUGUGUGACUAGGAAGAAAAGAAAAUGAGGUUCAUGAACAACUACCCAGACUCUACCCAAAGCUAUAAGUCAAAGGAAGGGCUUUAUUCACCUUUGAUUACAGCCUCCACACCUUUAUCCUGGAGGCCUUGAUAUGACAUUUAAUGCGCUUCAUGGAAAAAUCAAAAUAAGAAAAAUUUCCCUUUUUCAUUCUAAGAUACAAAGAGUUCAAUUUUUCAGGCCAAUCAUGAAGAAAAAGAGGGGUAAGAAGAGAAGAAGAGAAGGAAUAGGAACGGCAAUGGGAAAAAGAAGUAGAAGUGAGUUUGUUCCGCAACCACUUGUUUUCUGGAAUUCUUAUAUACAGUUGCAUUAGCCAAAUCCCCUGGCUAAAGUUAUAAUAUUGGAUGUUGCUUAUCAUGUGUCUUUAAUUAUAAGGAAUCAUUUUUACUUACAGAAAAUAGAAGGCCGGACACAGUGGCUCACACCUGUAAUUCCAGCACUUUGGG